AUUGAACGCUGGCGGAAUGCUUUACACAUGCAAGUCGAGCGGCAGCGCGGGGGCAACCCUGGCGGCGAGCGGCGAACGGGUGAGUAAUACAUCGGAACGUGUCCUUAAGUGGGGGAUAGCUCGGCGAAAGCCGGAUUAAUACCGCAUAAGCUCUGAGGAGGAAAGCGGGGGAUUCGCAAGGACCUCGCGCUGUUGGAGCGGCCGAUGUCGGAUUAGCUAGUUGGUGGGGUAAAGGCCCACCAAGGCGACGAUCCGUAGCUGGUCUGAGAGGAUGAUCAGCCACACUGGAACUGAGACACGGUCCAGACUCCUACGGGAGGCAGCAGUGGGGAAUUUUGGACAAUGGGGCAACCCUGAUCCAGCCAUUCCGCGUGAGUGAAGAAGGCCUUCGG
This 392-nucleotide ribosomal RNA is filed under the name uncultured bacterium. RNAcentral's name for it is "bacterial SSU rRNA". It matches the Rfam family "Bacterial small subunit ribosomal RNA", at positions 29 to 421 of the family's 1533-position model. The record is from RNAcentral.